Long non-coding RNA from Harmonia axyridis, 683 nucleotides. RefSeq lists it as uncharacterized. The transcript has 3 exons. The record is from RefSeq and is a predicted model, not a curated record. NCBI's taxonomy places the organism in Eukaryota, Metazoa, Arthropoda, Insecta, Coleoptera, Coccinellidae.
CAUAGACCUAAUAUCAAAUGGACAGGCCCUUAGAGAGAAAUUCUGGCAUGCCGCAUAUGAAAGAGAGAGAUGGAGCUAGAUGAGUCAACGUCAAAAUCAUAUGGAUCAAAACAUUGAACUCACAUUCAGAAAAUCGCAAAUUUUUCUCUCAUUCUGAAUUGAACACAUAGUUAAUCUGAUUGAUUACGAUUUGUAAAAGUGUUGAACAUUCUAAUAAAAGGAAUUAGCGAAUCCAUCUGCUUUUGCGAAAUUCAAAGCACCAAAAGAACUAAUUUUCAAAUAAAAUUCCUCACACUCGUGCAGCCUUCAAUUGUACAGCGAGAUUAGAAAAAAGCCAGAAGUUGAAAUUUCAUUCUUCACAGUUUUCCAAAGGAUGACAAAUUAAGGGAACAGUGGAUGAAAGCUGAAGAAGAAUUGAUUUCAACCCUUUUUCCUUGUUGAAAAUAUGCAGCAACCGUUUUCAUCAACAUGAUUUAUUAAUAUUCAUGGUACAAAAACUCUGAAAAAAGAUGUUAUUCCUUCAGUUUUCAGUUUCUCCAAUUAUAUGCCUGAGAGAUUAAAUUAUGGAGAUAAAUGUCUUGAAGAUAAUAUUGAAGGUACAUUAAUAUUUUAUUUUUUAUGGAUGUGAAAUAUCUAUUUAUUUUCCGUCCCUUAUUUUAUUCAUUCAUAUAAAUAAUUAUUGC